CCGAGUUUACAACUCCCAAACCCAUGUGAACAUACCUCAAUGUUGCUUCGGCGGACUCCCGCGCCCUCCGACCUCCCCCCGGGUAAUCGGGAGCCUAGCCGGACCCAGCCCCCGAGGUACCCCUAAACUCUUGUCUUCUAUAUAAUUCUUCUGAGUGCAAACCAUAAAUAAAUCA
Molecule: unclassified non-coding RNA, 175 nt
Filed under: soil metagenome
Description: partial internal transcribed spacer 1
Source: RNAcentral